Long non-coding RNA from Lycium barbarum (goji berry), 1043 nucleotides. RefSeq lists it as uncharacterized. The transcript has 2 exons. The record is from RefSeq and is a predicted model, not a curated record. NCBI's taxonomy places the organism in Eukaryota, Viridiplantae, Streptophyta, Magnoliopsida, Solanales, Solanaceae.
UUUCUCCUAGAAAUCUGUAGCGAAACGUUAGGCCCCUUUUUCUUUUCAUCAAACGUUACUUUCCCUUGCCCUCCUCUUCUUCUUUACGCUUGCUUUCGUACUUUUUUCCUCGGAAAGACACCCUCUCAAAAUUUCUCAAACAAAUCAGUUCACAUUUUCACACGAAGAAGAAGAAUCAGAGUACAUUUAAGGUUUAUUCUGCGCCACAAAGCAAAGAGAACGGCUGUUAAGGGAGUGGGUAGCAAUGAUUCUCUUCUGCAAUUUCAAAUUUAUGCUCUGAAUCUUGGUUUUGAACGAGUGGCUGAGAAUUUGGGGAGAAGACUUCUCAUGUAUUUCACUCUUUUCAUGUUUCGUCUCUCCUCAACAAUUGUAACAGUUUGUAACUCUUAAGCAGCCGGGUCUCAUAUCAUUAUGCUCGAUAAAGAAUAAUUGAUUCCUUCGGAUCAUCUACAUAAAGAUAAUAUUCGAAUUCUUCCGAAAUUGUCGUCCUUCAGGGAAAGACGAAUUUAUUUUUAAUGGUAAAGUAGCAAUUUGUCUUCUCUAAUGUUUUCAUUCGUGGUUGUUUCUUAAUUUACAGGCUUUUAAACGGUCUCGUUGGUGCAGCUCAAGUCUGGAGCAAACUGUUAGUUUGGUUGGGCAUUAGGAGGAAUCCUAGCAACUGGGAUGAUGAGCUACUGUGGACUGAACAAAAUGCAAAGAGCAAAUCUCCUCAGGCUUAAGUUUAUAGAAAUUUGUUGGCUUUGUAGUAGUUCCCUUUUGCUAAAAAUGAAUCAACUUGAGCCUGUUUGGAUGGGCUUAGUCUAACUUAUUUUUUUGGCUUAUAAACUGUUUUCGGCUUAUAAGCUGCUUUAGAUAAGCUAAGUCAAAUGAGUUCAAUUAUUUUUUUGAGCUUAUUUUAAGCACAAAAUGACUUUAAGCUGAUCAGUUAAACACUCAAAAAAACUGAAAACUGCUUAUAAGCAACUUAUAAGCCAAUCCAAACGGGCUCAAGUGCAAUUUAUGUUGCCAAGUAAUUUCCACAUUUUUUUUUCCUAUCUUCAACA